Papaver somniferum (opium poppy) is the source of this 1031-nucleotide long non-coding RNA. RefSeq lists it as uncharacterized. The transcript has 3 exons. Lineage: Eukaryota; Viridiplantae; Streptophyta; Magnoliopsida; Ranunculales; Papaveraceae. The record is from RefSeq and is a predicted model, not a curated record.
UUCUUAGAUCUGAACUCUGCUGACACCAAGGCGUUCAGAUUUGCUACUCUUCAGGUUUCUACUCCGGAUUUGCUGAAAAAGAAGCUCAAGAUCAGCUUAAUUAAUCAAAUCAGUGGGAAGGAAAAAACAAAUCCAUAAUAUAUAAUGGCUUCUAAUAGAUGUAAAACUAGUUGUGUAUGCGAAUCUGGUGGAUGGAAGAACAACUUCUAUCAAUUAAAUCAAUGCAGCACAAAUGAUAUCUCCUCUCGAAACAAUUGUAUCUCUAUCAGAAUCAACUACCGGCUCAAAGGCAGCCGAGAAUCUAACAUCAAAUAUGCAGUUUGAUUGAGAAUAUAGGUGAUGCAUUAUCUAGAAUGCGCGACAGGAGCAUGCAACGUCCUCAAAAGUUUUGAUACUUUUAUAUGUAUAGGAAUCUGGUGGAUGACGAACAAAAACAGAACCAAACUUCUUCUCAAUUCAAUGGCAUUAUGAUUUCUCCUCUUAAGUAUGAUUUUAUCAUUACCAUUUCGGCCGCCACCUCCUUACACGAUCUAUUACCACAACUACUACCAAAGACCACCAACAUCACCACUCUCAUCAGCAGCUUUUAUAGAUGCUCAAAGUGGUACUGCAGGAUUAGGUGGAUGCUCGUGCAGUGGAGGAAGAUGGAGACACCUUUGACAUCAAAUGCCUGGUAAGAGGAUCAAGUUUAAUCUAAACACCGUACCACAGUUUGAGGUGAAUAGAAACAGCAGUACAACUCUAAAUGUUGAUUAACAUCUUCUGCUUUUGUAUAUUGUGUUUUUGUCAUUGAUUGUUAGGCCAUGCCAACAGAUAUGAAUUGUAAGAUCCAGUUAUAUAUGGGUUUCUGUAUACUUGGUGGAUUACAACCAUGCAAGUGGUUGGCGAGGGUGAACUGAAUUGUAGUUCCGGUAUGUAACCAUUUAAUCUGCUUAUCAAGUUUCAACUAUCCGUUUAAGAGCAACCACAGUGGGAAUAUAACCAAAUAUUUGGUCAAAAAACGAGACACAGCGGAUAGACUAUCGAUUAAA